RNAcentral lists this ribosomal RNA (1141 nucleotides) under uncultured bacterium. RNAcentral's name for it is "bacterial SSU rRNA". It matches the Rfam family "Bacterial small subunit ribosomal RNA", at positions 240 to 1381 of the family's 1533-position model. The record is from RNAcentral.
AUUAGCCAGUUGGUGGGGUAAAGGCCUACCAAAGCGACGAUGGGUAGCCGGCCUGAGAGGAUGAUCCCCCACACUGGUACUGAGACACGGACCAGACUCCUACGGGAGGCAGCAGUGAGGAAUAUUGGUCAAUGGGCGCAAGCCUGAACCAGCCAUCCCGCGUGCAGGAUGACGGCCCUAUGGGUUGUAAACUGCUUUUAUACACCAAGAAAAACAUCCACGUGUGUUGGACCCGACGGUAGUGUAUGAAUAAGCAUCGGCUAACUCCGUGCCAGCAGCCGCGGUAAUACGGAGGAUGCAAGCGUUAUCCGGAUUCAUUGGGUUUAAAGGGUGCGUAGGCGGCUUUUUAAGUCAGUGGUGAAAUCCUGCCGCUUAACGGUAGAAUUGCCAUUGAUACUGAUAGGCUAGAAUAUGGUUGCUGUGGGUGGAAUGUGUUGUGUAGCGGUGAAAUGCAUAGAUAUGACACAGAACGCCGAUUGCGAAGGCAGCUUACUAAACUGUUACUGACGCUGAUGCACGAAAGCGUGGGGAGCGAACAGGAUUAGAUACCCUGGUAGUCCACGCCGUAAACGAUGCUCACUCGCUGUUUGCGAUACACAGCAAGCGGCCAAGCGAAAGCAUUAAGUGAGCCACCUGGGGAGUACGAUCGCAAGGUUGAAACUCAAAGGAAUUGACGGGGGCCCGCACAAGCGGAGGAACAUGUGGUUUAAUUCGAUGAUACGCGAGGAACCUUACCUGGGCUUAAAUGUAGGCUGCAUUCGGCUGAAAGGCUACCUUCCCUUCGGACGAUCUACAAGGUGCUGCAUGGUUGUCGUCAGCUCGUGCCGUGAGGUGUCGGGUUAAGUCCCAUAACGAGCGCAACCCUUAUCGUUAGUUGCCAGCGGAUCAUGCCGGGGACUCUAGCGAGACUGCCACCGUAAGGUGUGAGGAAGGUGGGGAUGACGUCAAAUCAGCACGGCCCUUAUGUCCAGGGCUACACACGUGUUACAAUGGCCGAUACAAAGGGCAGCUACCAGGUGACUGGAUGCUAAUCUCCAAAGUCGGUCUCAGUUCGGAUCGAAGUCUGCAACUCGACUCCGUGAAGUCGGAUUCGCUAGUAAUCGCGCAUCAGCCAUGGCGCGGUGAAUACGUUCCCGGGCCU